UAAAUGCGCAUCAACAUCUGAGAAAUUCCGUCUGUUGAUUGGACUGUUGUGUGAAGUGGAUCUGUCAAUAACCAACAUUGAGGAGCACUAUGAACAGCUGUUGGUGAAGAAUCGCAUCUUUCAUCUGCUGAGGAUGUUUCCUAAUGUUGCUCAUCCGUUGCUUGAUGUCAUCGCCAGGGCAACCAACAGAUGCUGUCCACUCGCUUCUCUUCCUGUCACCAUCGGAAGAAUUGAAAAAGAGAGGUUCCACCAUCACUCCUUCAGUCCUCACUGACUGUAGGUGUCGUCAGUUCUUCAGGAGCUAUGGAGUCUCCUACGGACAUCCAUAAAUGCAUCUUGCUGCAGCAGCAGCAUUGCUACGCCUGCAGCUGGAGUUGCUACAGGCUCAGCGACUACAACAAGCGUUGCCUCUGAAAUCUGACUUUCAGACAGCAGAAAACAAGCAACGCAGCUGUGUGUACCAUCCCAAACCCACCCAUGGCUAUAAUGGAGCAACCCGUGCCAGCAAGCUCCACUGUGAUUGGUCCAUUGAAAUCAUCAGCUCAGCCAAUGAGGAUGACCAGAAGUUGCAGUCAGCUUUCCCAGCAGCCAAUCAGGGGAGCUGUUGGAAACAGACACAGCGGCAGUGACAUUCAGACUUUGGAUCUCAGAUCGCCGGAAAGACGGCUGGCUUCAGAAAAUGUUUCAAGUAAAAACGUCACCGCGACAUUGAUAGAAAUUGUGAAAAUGUUCCCGAGAAGGGUCUGUACCCCUUGACUUGUCCUGCACUCUUACGCCCACCAACAACACAGGGAGCAUGAUUGCCACCAAUGCCGCUUUCGAACCGAUGACUGGGUUGUAGCAACAGAAACCAGACGAUGAACAUGUCAACAUGAUAAACCAAUCCCAAUGUCAAAGAUUUGAAUUUAGUCAGAUCCCAGAGGUAAGGUCCCCCAUGUUGAGCCCUUUUCACACUAGACAAUCUUGGGGUUGACACAGGUUUGAAAACAUCAAAUGUUGGAGGACAUCAAAAUCUUUCAUUGGAGUUGUAUGUCAGUUGGAUGGCAUGUAGUUAAGUGUGAUUUUUGGUCCACAAAAAAAAUCUGCUUUUUGGAGGGCUAAAAUCAUGGAUUUUGGUGAACAUGUAGCCCCUUGUUUUAACACGCAAAACGUAACUGUUAUUGUUUUUUUUUGUUCAGAGGGAGAGGUUGAAAUUCCAUGCUAAAUAAGUGUUUUGAUUGAAUGCAAUGUAUUACAAUGUCCUUUUUAUGUAACGAAAGUUACAUAGGCCUACAAAUAUAAAACCAUUGCCAACCCGCCCGGAAAAGCUUUCCAAUUCGUUUUCAUUUAUUCAAACAGACUGUGUUACAGUGUUGACAUAACACAAAAGUCUGACUGUUGAAACCAAUAUAUCAAGUUGUGAGACGCAUCUGUACGUCUCAAAGCAAUUAAAGUUACCGUGGAAUUGCCCCUGUAUUUAAUGUCAGAUUUCACUUGAAAUUUGGGCGAGCAGGUGUAUGUCACAAUUGUAAUUGUUGCAGAAUAGAAAUAUUGAAAAGAAAUCUAGACUGAAUUGUGUGUCCAUAAAUUGCUGAUUUCAUAAACAGAACACCGUAUAUUAAAAUAAUAUUCACUUUGCUACCCCAUUUUCAGUAAUCAAGUACCUGUAGUUAUAGAAAUAAGUGCAAAAGUAAUAUUUUUCAAACAAAAUUUCAAUGUUCUAAAUUGCAAGAUAGUUUCGUAUACAUUUGUAUUUGCCCAAGGUAAACUUCAAAAUUACAGUGUAUUUCUGAAAUCCCUGUACUUGUAUAUACAUUGUAUGUACACAACAGCUGAUGUGAAUUUAUGUGAUUGUUUUACCUAUCUUUUUUCAAACGAAAAGAAUCAGAUUUGAUCUUUGAUUGAACACGAAUGUAUACUGUUUUACAGUCAGUUGUAACGAAUAGCUUUUGUUCAUCCGUGGAUGUGAUGUAAAACGUUUCAAUUACACAUGUAUCAGAAUAAAUGUAUCGGCUGGAAUAAAUGCCCAGAGUACUGAGGCAAACGAAUAUGAA
Molecule: long non-coding RNA, 2033 nt
Filed under: Patiria miniata (bat star)
Lineage: Eukaryota; Metazoa; Echinodermata; Asteroidea; Valvatida; Asterinidae
Description: uncharacterized LOC119718848
Source: RNAcentral